This 216-nucleotide ribosomal RNA is filed under the name uncultured bacterium. Its description in RNAcentral is "partial 16S ribosomal RNA". It matches the Rfam family "Bacterial small subunit ribosomal RNA", at positions 355 to 563 of the family's 1533-position model. The record is from RNAcentral.
UAGGGAAUCUUCCACAAUGGACGCAAGUCUGAUGGAGCAACGCCGCGUGAGUGAAGAAGGUUUUCGGAUCGUAAAGCUCUGUUGUUGGUGAAGAAGGAUAGAGGCAGUAACCGGUCUUUAUUUGACGGUAAUCAACCAGAAAGUCACGGCUAACUACGUGCCAGCAGCCGCGGUAAUACGUAGGUGGCAAGCGUUGUCCGGAUUUAUUGGGCGUAA